UACGGGGGGAGCAAGCGUUGUUCGGAUUUACUGGGCGUAAAGGGCGCGUAGGCGGCGCUCCAAGUUAGGCGUGAAAGCCCCGGGCUCAACCUGGGAAUAGCGCUUAAGACUGGAGUGCUCGAGUGCGGAAGAGGUGAGUGGAAUUCCCAGUGUAGAGGUGAAAUUCGUAGAUAUUGGGAAGAACACCAGUGGCGAAGGCGGCUCACUGGUCCGCAACUGACGCUGAGGCGCGAAAGCGUGGGGAGCAAACAGG
RNAcentral lists this ribosomal RNA (253 nucleotides) under uncultured bacterium. Its description in RNAcentral is "partial 16S ribosomal RNA". It matches the Rfam family "Bacterial small subunit ribosomal RNA", at positions 524 to 776 of the family's 1533-position model. The record is from RNAcentral.